RNAcentral lists this ribosomal RNA (746 nucleotides) under uncultured cyanobacterium. Its description in RNAcentral is "bacterial SSU rRNA". It matches the Rfam family "Bacterial small subunit ribosomal RNA", at positions 8 to 796 of the family's 1533-position model. The record is from RNAcentral. Lineage: Bacteria; Bacillati; Cyanobacteriota.
AGAGUUUGAUCCUGGCUCAGGAUGAACGCUGGCGGUCUGCUUAACACAUGCAAGUCGAACGGAACUCUUCGGAGUUCAGUGGCGGACGGGUGAGUAACGCGUGAGAAUCUGCCUUUUGGUCGGGGACAACCACUGGAAACGGUGGCUAAUACCGGAUAAGCCUGCGGGUAAAAGAUUAAUUGCCAAGAGAGGAGCUCGCGUCUGAUUAGCUAGUUGGUGAGGUAAAGGCUCACCAAGGCGGCGAUCAGUAGCUGGUCUGAGAGGAUGAUCAGCCACACUGGGACUGAGACACGGCCCAGACUCCUACGGGAGGCAGCAGUGGGGAAUUUUCCGCAAUGGGCGAAAGCCUGACGGAGCAAGACCGCGUGAGGGAGGAAGGCUCUUGGGUUGUAAACCUCUUUUGUCAGGGAAGAACACAAUGACGGUACCUGAAGAAUCAGCAUCGGCUAACUCCGUGCCAGCAGCCGCGGUAAUACGGAGGAUGCAAGCGUUAUCCGGAAUUAUUGGGCGUAAAGCGUCCGCAGGUGGCACUUCAAGUCUGCUGUCAAAGACCGGGGCUUAACCCUGGAAAGGCAGUGGAAACUGAAGCGCUAGAGUGUGGCAGGGGUAGAGGGAAUUCCCGGUGUAGCGGUGAAAUGCGUAGAGAUCGGGAAGAACAUCGGUGGCGAAAGCGCUCUACUGGGCCACAACUGACACUCAGGGACGAAAGCUAGGGGAGCGAAUGGGAUUAGAUACCCCAGUAGUCC